AUGAUGGGAAUAACUAAGCAGAAAUUUGGAAAUGAGCAUGAAAUGUCUAUAAAUGAAUUUUCUCAUUAUUCGUUAUUUCCGGGUCUUUUCGUUGCAUUCACUUACGACAAGAAACAACUACCAGCGACAGCACUUGCAUUUUGGUGGAUUCUUCUUCCUUUCCUUGGUCUUUCAUUCUGUCAUAUUCCAAAUAACUUAUCUAAUUACAACGUAUUAACCGCUAAUGCACCUUUUUAUCAAAUCUCAGGGACAUGGUCUAAUCAUAAGGGUAGUAUUUUAUCAUGGUGUUGGAUCCCAAGUUUUUAUGGAUUCCCUUUUUGUUACCCGGGUCGACCCCAAAGCCAUAAUGUCUCAAAACGAAGAGGCUAUAGAGAAACUUUCUUUUUUUCCUUUGUCUCGAACUUCAUGAAGAACUCCAUUCUAUUUCUCCAACCAAAAAGUGGGGUUGCGCCCCUGUUGUACACUCCCUUCGUUCGGAGAACCCUUGUAGAUUCUGAACUUCGUUCGCAAAGUAAGCGUCCUUUUAACAGGCCAGCCCUUUUUAAUGUGCCGCUUGACCCUAUUUUGAAAAUGAGCUUUGCUCUUCUGGGCGCUGGGCGCUCCCGUGGUUCGCGAGAAGGAAAAAAGACUAAUCUUUUAUUACAUCUGGCACGAGAUGAAAAAGAGAGAGCUUCGUCUAUCAAUGAACAGCAGAUGGAUGGAGCUCUUGGCAUUGCUUUGUUUUUCUCUCCUUUCCUAUCAGCGAGUUCUGAUCCUUUUGUUCGAAAUUUCUUCGCUUGUACCGAACCGCUUGCAAAAUCAAAUCCAGUUCCACAAGAUCCUAUAUUAGCUAUACAUCCUCCUUGCAUUUAUGCUGGAGAUGUCGCUAGUGCUAUGGUUUGGGUUAUGUAGAUCAAAAUGAUGAAUGGGAUUGUGGCACUCCACUCGCCUCCAAUGCGGAAUGAUGCUGCCGAAAAGAAUGGAAUGUUGCUUCGCUCUGCUGGAUGCGUCGGAUCCCAUAUAAGAAGCUCGCUCUUUACCCAAUCAUUCAAACAUUUUGUGGGCGGUGCACCUGCUCUAUUGUUGCAUAGCAAUAGAAGCCUGCUCGUGUGGCGCUUUUUCGCCUUCUCUUCGCUCUGGACAGGAGCUCUAAUGGACACGGGGAGGGAGCAGGCGAAGCAUGUCGUUCAUAAUGGAAAUAAAGACACCACUACUUUGCCUCUUUGUUGGACCGCCGGCGCGAACACGGUGGUCUCUGACCAGGACCAGGAACCAAUUUGAAUUUGGAUCUUGACAUGUCAGUUGUUUUUAACCGUAGGCAUCUUGCCAGGAAGUUGGUGGGCUCAUCAUGAAUUAGGUCGGGGUGUCUGGUGGUUUCGGGAUCCCGUAGAAAAUACGUCCUUUAUGCCUCGGGUAUUAGCCAUGGCUCAUAUUCAUUCAGUAAUUCUACCACUUCUUCAUUCUUGGACCUCACUUCUAAAUAUUUUGACUCUUCCAUGCUGUGUCUUAGGAACCUUUUCAAUACGGUCCGGAUUGUUAGCUCCCGUUCAUAGUUCCGCUAUAGACAAUACACGAGGAAGAUUUUUAUGGUGGUUCUUCCUUCUAAUUACAGGCGUAUCUAUGACUCUUUUUUACCAGAUGAAGCAGGAGGCAUCGGCCCGUAGAACCUAUAAAAAAGAGAUGGUUGUGGCGCGAAGUACUCUUGUACACCUACGUCACUCGGCUCACGCGCAACCCCACCCUGUUAUGUUAUGUUAUAGAAUAAUUAAGCUUCUUGCUGCAUGGUUAUUCAGAGACAACAACUGGCUGUUGGAUUUCACCCAGUCCGUAGCGCUUCGUAAGUCACUCUGGCGUGGCGCGGCUGGAUACUUCUGA
Molecule: ribosomal RNA, 1854 nt
Filed under: Triticum aestivum (bread wheat)
Lineage: Eukaryota; Viridiplantae; Streptophyta; Magnoliopsida; Poales; Poaceae
Description: partial small subunit ribosomal RNA
Source: RNAcentral